Molecule: long non-coding RNA, 1187 nt
Organism: Aegilops tauschii subsp. strangulata
Lineage: Eukaryota; Viridiplantae; Streptophyta; Magnoliopsida; Poales; Poaceae
Source: RefSeq, a predicted model, not a curated record
GAUGCCCAAUGAGGAUAAUACUUUGCCUUCAUCACCUUGGCACAUAAGGUCUAGGUAAAUCAAUAAGCGCCAUGCCUAUUUUACCAAAAGCGGUCAAUUAAAUAACCUUAGAUCAUGGAAACCCAUACCGCCCUCACCUUCUAGUCUCGCCAGUUUGUCUCAUGCCAUACAAUGGGUUUUACUCUUGUCCUUUUUCUCUUCACCCACCAAAAAAUCUUGAUGAGUUGAGGUAACCCAUCGCAAAGUGAAGCCGGAAAUUUGAAAAUUCUCAUGGCAUACACUGGAAGAACUUGCAUAACUAUCUUAAUUUGAAUUUCCUUGGUCCCUCUAGAGGCAUAUUUUUCAAUCCAGUCAAAUAGCCAUUUCAAAGAUUUAUCUUUGGUAGACUAAAAUUUACCAUCUUUCAUUCUACCUUCUGACAUAGGUAACCCAAGAUAUUUUAAGACAUUAAAACUGAGCACUAAUCGAGCCCUCUCAGGCUAUUAGCAUCUCAAACCAUUGGAUGCCUGUUGUGGAUGUUCGUGGCCAUUAGAUUUCACACUAAUCACGACGGGGCAUUUUUUUGUUGAGCGUCGAGCGCUGCAGGUUAGGGCUGUUGCUCCCGUAACAAAUUCGGGCAUCUGAUGUUAACUUCGGCCAAAUGGGCUUGGGGCCUUGGGCAAAGCCAUGUUGUAGCCCCAGAGCCACGGUCACCCCUCCUUCCACGUUUGACGGUUGCGCGAACGAACCAGUGCUCUGGACAUCAGCACUACGCCCCUAUGGAGAUGACGAAGAUUCGAGGGAUGGGUUCACAGCGAAAGAUGAUUUUUGUGGUGCAUAGACAACGCCUUAUCUUCCUCUGCACCGUAGGAUGAGCAGAUCCAUCUUCCACAGCGACGGCGGCAGGGAGGUGCUGGUUCUUUUCUGAGUGCUAUAGCUAUGCCUUCCCCUGCCGCUCCCCUUCCCUCAUCUCCUCAGUCUCUGCUCCCCACAUGCCUGCAAGUAACACUCCAGUCGCCUCCUCCGGCGUGUGUACUGCUCCUUUUAUCCGCUGAUUUGGUCCAUCCAUAUGUUCUCGGAUCCACCAAUUUCUUACCGAGGGAAAAGUGCAGAAAGUAUAUAUUGAUUCCCCUGUAGUAUGUUUCUAGGACCAUUUAUUUAUUUAUCCUCAAAACCACCGGACCACGGUGGGAACUUGAUCUUCCAAA